UAAAUCAUGAAAUGGUCAUAUAUCUAAGAACACGUUUUACUCUUUUUUCUAACAAAUAAGUUUACCGUUUAAUACAUUAGAUGACACAGUUAUAUUUAACCGGAAGGGAUCAGCUGAGGCAUAAGCUAAUCCACCAUAUAAUACACUAAUAAAAAAUAAACAUGUGGAAUUUAUUUAGUCAUUACUCCUACACUGCAACUCCUUUUUCUUUAAGAGGAAGAAACACGCGGAUGAGAGACUGGACGCGGUUGUGGAGGUUGAGGCGGGGGCCGACGAGAGCUGAGGUCGAAUCGGGGAGGCGGGCUCUGUCGGCGGCGUCGGCGGCGGAGGGAGGAGGGGAUUGAGGAUUGAGGCGGAGGGCGUAGAGAGGCGGCUCGAUCCGGAGCCUGCGCUUGCGGCGGCGGCGUUCGGCUGCGGCUUCCUCUGCGGAGGAGAAUCCGUAGGAGCGCUGCGAGAUGAAGGAGGAAUUGUCCAGGCAUUGGGGCUGGGAGUGUUGAGCGGCGGCGGAGAACUGAUUGGGGGUGAAAUUGGUGGUAGGAUACGGCGGAUGAGGGGGAUUGGUGAGAGGGGUAUCUGUAAAGUGAAUGAGAUUGCUAUAAUUUUGAAUUUCCUAACUUAGAAUGCCAAGCUUCAGCAGUAAUCACUCACAAACACAUGCGCGUCUGUGUGCGAACAGAGAGAUAAGAGAGGGAAAUCGGUGUUUCUUUCUCUUAAAGACAAAGGAGUUGCAGUGUAGGGAGGGAGAGAGUAAUGACUAAUGAGUGAAGAUAUGAAGGCGCGGGACCACAAAAUAAAAGGACUAUAUGAACUUUGGCGUGGUCCCUGAUUAUGUGACCGCAAGUUGAGAGAGGAAUUGACGGUGCCCUUGAGCGCAUGAUCAAUUAGCUGUGUCUGGAGAUGCCAAAAUGUGUAAUCAAUGGAGUAAUUCACACCAUUAAUGAAAGGGGGAAUUAGAUUAGGGAUGAGAACCUGUGGAUCGGAAACG
Salvia splendens (bonfire salvia) is the source of this 985-nucleotide long non-coding RNA. RefSeq lists it as uncharacterized. The record is from RefSeq and is a predicted model, not a curated record. Lineage: Eukaryota; Viridiplantae; Streptophyta; Magnoliopsida; Lamiales; Lamiaceae. The transcript has 3 exons.